UAUGUUGCACACCCUGAUACAUGUGAA
Molecule: unclassified non-coding RNA, 27 nt
Filed under: Mus musculus (house mouse)
Lineage: Eukaryota; Metazoa; Chordata; Mammalia; Rodentia; Muridae
Description: oocyte_clustered_small_RNA13758
Source: RNAcentral